AGGUUAGUGCAAUGGCAUAAGCCAGCUUGACUGCGAGCGUGACGGCGCGAGCAGGUGCGAAAGCAGGUCAUAGUGAUCCGGUGGUUCUGAAUGGAAGGGCCAUCGCUCAACGGAUAAAAGGUACUCCGGGGAUAACAGGCUGAUACCGCCCAAGAGUUCAUAUCGACGGCGGUGUUUGGCACCUCGAUGUCGGCUCAUCACAUCCUGGGGCUGAAGUAGGUCCCAAGGGUAUGGCUGUUCGCCAUUUAAAGUGGUACGCGAGCUGGGUUUAGAACGUCGUGAGACAGUUCGGUCCCUAUCUGCCGUGGGCGCUGGAGAACUGAGGGGGGCUGCUCCUAGUACGAGAGGACCGGAGUGGACGCAUCACUGGUGUUCGGGUUGUCAUGCCAAUGGCACUGCCCGGUAGCUAAAUGCGGAAGAGAUAAGUGCUGAAAGCAUCUAAGCACGAAACUUGCCCCGAGAUGAGUUCUCCCUGAGACUUAGAGUCUCCUGAAGGAACGUUGAAGACGACGACGUUGAUAGGCCGGGUGUGUAAGCGCAGCGAUGCGUUGAGCUAACCGGUACUAAUGAACCGUGAGGCUUAACCUUACA
This 591-nucleotide ribosomal RNA is filed under the name Salmonella enterica subsp. enterica. RNAcentral's name for it is "partial 23S ribosomal RNA". It matches the Rfam family "Bacterial large subunit ribosomal RNA", at positions 2343 to 2925 of the family's 2925-position model. The record is from RNAcentral. Lineage: Bacteria; Pseudomonadati; Pseudomonadota; Gammaproteobacteria; Enterobacterales; Enterobacteriaceae.